AUACGGAGGAUGCGAGCGUUAUCCGGAUUUAUUGGGUUUAAAGGGAGCGUAGGUGGGAUAUUAAGUCAGCUGUGAAAGUUUGGGGCUCAGCCUUAAAAUUGCAGUUGAUACUGGUUUCCUUGAGUACGGUACAGGUGGGCGGAAUUCGUGGUGUAGCGGUGAAAUGCUUAGAUAUCACGAAGAACUCCGAUCGCGAAGGCAGCUUGCCGGGCCGCAACUGACGCUGAAGCUCGAAGGUGCGGGUAUCGAACAGGAUUAGAUACCCUGGUAGUCCGCACAGUAAACGAUGGAUACUCGCUGUCGGCGAUAUACGGUCGGUGGCCAAGCGAAAGCGUUAAGUAUCCCACCUGGGGAGUACGCCGGCAACGGUGAAACUCAAAUGAAUUGGCGGGG
This 393-nucleotide ribosomal RNA is filed under the name uncultured bacterium. RNAcentral describes it as "partial 16S ribosomal RNA". It matches the Rfam family "Bacterial small subunit ribosomal RNA", at positions 523 to 918 of the family's 1533-position model. The record is from RNAcentral.